AGUGAGAAGAGAGAAACGGGCGAACGGUUCGUACGACAAUAAGGUAUCGAUUAGUUAAUCAGAGAUGAAAUAAUGUAAAAUACAAGUGCAAAAGCAAGUAUACAUUAUUAUAUUUACUAUAAUACGAGGGGUUCAUCGUGUCGGUUAUCUCUCCGAUCUUGAGAGAGAGAGAGAGAGAGAAAAGAGAAGUGAAUAUAAAGGGGAGAGGGGAUUUCACACGAGGGACGAGGCUCCUUUCUUUUUUUAAAGAGUUAUCCUUAAACGCGAAAAUGCGCUGUGAAACGUCGCGGAACUUUUUUUUUUUUCUUCCUGAAGCGGAAAUCAGAAAAGCGAGGACGCGAUCGAUAUAUAUAUAUAUAUAUGGGAUAGAAAAAUAGAGGAAGAGAGAAGCGAGGAGGUGGUUGGAACGAGCAAAGUAGAAUGGAUCUCUCGAUCCCUCGCUUUAGCGGCGUCGUUUCCUUUUUUUUUAUUUUUUUUUUUCCCCCUCGAAAGAGGACGAUGACACGGCUGGAUCGCGCGAUGAUCGAUCUCGAUCGCCGCGUGCACAUACCAAAGGAUCGUAGAUUUUACGCGAGUAAAGGUGAAU
Molecule: long non-coding RNA, 586 nt
Organism: Apis florea (little honeybee)
Lineage: Eukaryota; Metazoa; Arthropoda; Insecta; Hymenoptera; Apidae
Source: RefSeq, a predicted model, not a curated record